GCUAACUCUGUGCCAGCAGCCGCGGUAAUACAGAGGGUGCGAGCGUUAAUCGGAUUUACUGGGCGUAAAGCGUGCGUAGGCGGCUUUUUAAGUCGGAUGUGAAAUCCCCGAGCUUAACUUGGGAAUUGCAUUCGAUACUGGGAAGCUAGAGUAUGGGAGAGGAUGGUAGAAUUCCAGGUGUAGCGGUGAAAUGCGUAGAGAUCUGGAGGAAUACCGAUGGCGAAGGCAGCCAUCUGGCCUAAUACUGACGCUGAGGUACGAAAGCAUGGGGAGCAAACAGGAUUAGAUACCCUGGUAGUCCAUGCCGUAAACGAUGUCUACUAGCCGUUGGGGCCUUUGAGGCUUUAGUGGCGCAGCUAACGCGAUAAGUAGACCGCCUGGGGAGUACGGUCGCAAGACUAAAACUCAAAUGAAUUGACGGGGGCCCGCACAAGCGGUGGAGCAUGUGGGUUAAUUCGAUGCCAAGCGAAGAAGCUU
RNAcentral lists this ribosomal RNA (477 nucleotides) under uncultured archaeon. RNAcentral's name for it is "bacterial SSU rRNA". It matches the Rfam family "Bacterial small subunit ribosomal RNA", at positions 496 to 972 of the family's 1533-position model. The record is from RNAcentral.